Molecule: long non-coding RNA, 797 nt
Filed under: Mytilus galloprovincialis (Mediterranean mussel)
Lineage: Eukaryota; Metazoa; Mollusca; Bivalvia; Mytilida; Mytilidae
Source: RNAcentral
AUACCACAAAAGGAAGGUUGGGAUUGAUUUUGGGGAUGAUGGUCCCAACCGAUUAGGAAUUAAGGGCCCAAAAGGGGCCCAAAACAAGCAUUUUUCUAGUUUCAGGAUAAUAACUUGUGUAGAAGUAUUUCAAUUGCUCUAAAAUCAUACCGCAAUGUUUAAAACCACAAGUAGAAGGUUUGGAUUCAUUUUAGGGGAUUAUGGAGCCAAAGUUUAGGAAUUAAGGGCCAAAAAGGCGUCAAAACAAGCUUUUUUCUAGUUUCAAGACAAUAACUUAUGUGUAAUUGUAUGGAUCUCUCUGAAAUUGUACCACAAUGUACCAUAUAACAAAGGGGAGGCUGGGAUUAAGUUUUGGGUUAAUUGCCCAAAAUAUGUAGGAAUUAGGGGCCAAAAAAGGGCCAAAAAGAAGCAUGAUUCUAGUUUCCAAACAAUUAUGACAAUAACUUGUGUUUAAGUGCAUGGAUCUCUCUGAAAUUGUACUACAAGGUUCAAUACUGCAAUGGAAAGCAUGGGAUUGAGUUUAAGGGUUAUUGCUCCAAGGGGGGUUAAAAAAAGUUGGGGGAUUUUUUGUUUACCAUUUUUUGAAGGGCUUCCUUUUUUUUCAAAGAAGUUUCAAGAAGAAAUCUUCAAUUGCACAGUAUUGUGCAAUAGAUUUGUUAGAUCUUUCACCACAUUAAUUUUGUGACAAAAACCUAUAUUAUGUCAAAAAUUUGAUCACAAUCCAAAUUCAGACAGAAUCAAGCUUGAAUAUUGUGACCAAAUUUGCCCCAACUAUUCAGGGUUCAACCACUGGGGUC